RNAcentral lists this ribosomal RNA (119 nucleotides) under Escherichia coli. RNAcentral describes it as "partial 16S ribosomal RNA". It matches the Rfam family "Bacterial small subunit ribosomal RNA", at positions 1 to 110 of the family's 1533-position model. RNAcentral also lists the same sequence under 1 other name. The record is from RNAcentral. Lineage: Bacteria; Pseudomonadati; Pseudomonadota; Gammaproteobacteria; Enterobacterales; Enterobacteriaceae.
UUAAAUUGAAGAGUUUGAUCAUGGCUCAGAUUGAACGCUGGCGGCAGGCCUAACACAUGCAAGUCGAACGGUAACAGGAAACAGCUUGCUGUUUCGCUGACGAGUGGCGGACGGGUGAG